This is a non-coding RNA of Oryctolagus cuniculus (rabbit), 744 nucleotides long. The record is from RefSeq and is a predicted model, not a curated record. NCBI's taxonomy places the organism in Eukaryota, Metazoa, Chordata, Mammalia, Lagomorpha, Leporidae.
GGCACCUGCAACCACUCUCCUCUGGAGGUGCCUACAGACCCUGUGUGCCUGUGACCUUGCUCUUGAACGCCCGCCUGCCCAGAUGUCCUGCCAGCAGAGCCAGCAGCAGUGCCAGCCCCCUCCCAAGUGCCCCCCCAAGUGCCCUCCCAAGUGCCAAGCCCCCAAAUGCCCCCCAAAGUGUCCCCCUAAGUGUCCUCCAGUGUCCUCCUGCUGCAUCUCCAGCUCCGGGGGCUGCUGUGGCUCUGGGGGUGGGGGCUGCUGCAGCUCUGGGGGUGGGGGCUGCUGCAGCUCUGGGGGUGGGGGCUGCUGCCUGAGCCACCACAGGCCCCGCAGGUCGCACCGCCGCAGACAGCAGAACUCAGGCUGCUGCAGCCAGCCCUCGGGGGGCUCCAGCUGCUGUGGAGGGGGCGGCAGCCAGUCAUCUGGGGACUGCUGCUGAGGGGGACCCUGAGCCUGGAAGAGGAGACACGGAGGCAGCAAAUGGCCAAACAGCUUCCCCUCUUCUUGCCCCUGCUGCUGAGCCAGCCCAUGUUGCCGAGAGGCCUUGGUGAGGUCGGACCUCAAGCCUAGAACUGCCUUCCAUCUCUAGGUCCAGGAGCCCAGAUUUUUCCAAAGACUGUUUGCUGCUGACCUCAUCCCCGUAUGUGGGACUACCUUGCCCAGGGGACCCUGGAGCACAGAUCUGUGGCUCUGCAGCCUGAUGUGUAACAAUAAACCCUGAAACCUGCAUGGGCUUGGCCUUGA